AAAAUCCGUCGACUUUAUAAGUUGUGAG
This 28-nucleotide transfer RNA is filed under the name Ehrharta erecta. RNAcentral describes it as "partial tRNA-Leu". RNAcentral also lists the same sequence under 1 other name. Lineage: Eukaryota; Viridiplantae; Streptophyta; Magnoliopsida; Poales; Poaceae. The record is from RNAcentral.